This 569-nucleotide unclassified non-coding RNA is filed under the name Triodia scintillans. Its description in RNAcentral is "partial external transcribed spacer". The record is from RNAcentral. Lineage: Eukaryota; Viridiplantae; Streptophyta; Magnoliopsida; Poales; Poaceae.
UCGCAUCAUCCCAAUGCCGGAAKAGGUGGUCGUGCUGUGACAACCGGCCUGAGAACGAAAAUUGUUGGAUACAACAGAAUCACGGUGUGCCCACCGUGUCACCGGCGAGAAGCAGUCUGGCGGCCGAAAGGCUGCUGGUUCUUCCACGUCGUUGGCGUAUGGGUGCAAACAAUAUGGGAUAUAUAGUGCCUGUUCUCGCGCUCUGUGGACUUUCGGUCGUCGUCCUCAUAGCAGACCCGUUGUGCUAAGCACGAUGGGAUGCUCGGGCUUCUUGACCGUUGUGGCUACGCUGGCGCAUGAGAUGUUGUGGACAUGUGGCUGCCUGGAGGCCCCCCGUCGUUGUGCGGCCGACUCCAGGUGCAGUGUCCUUUCAAUUGUAUGGGUUUCAAAACCUGUGUCGUUGACGAGUGCUUGCGUUCUGCUACCCGUUCUGCGGGAAGUAGAGCUUCGUACAACUUGCCUUCGUCGCGUGCGCCCUUUGGGCGUGUCGCGUCGAUCACCUAGCGCUUGCGGUGUUGCCUCGCGGCGUCAGCCAUCUAGGCCGGCAUCGUCUAGGACACCUCGCAAUC